This 65-nucleotide transfer RNA is filed under the name Dipodomys ordii (Ord's kangaroo rat). It matches the Rfam family "tRNA". From Rfam's summary of the family: Transfer RNA (tRNA) molecules are approximately 80 nucleotides in length. Their secondary structure includes four short double-helical elements and three loops (D, anti-codon, and T loops). Lineage: Eukaryota; Metazoa; Chordata; Mammalia; Rodentia; Heteromyidae. The record is from Rfam by way of RNAcentral.
GGUGGCUCAGUGGUAGAGCACUUGCCUUACAAGCUUGAGGCCCUGGGUUCGAUUCCCCAGUACCA